This 211-nucleotide ribosomal RNA is filed under the name Aliivibrio sp. RNAcentral's name for it is "partial 16S ribosomal RNA". It matches the Rfam family "Bacterial small subunit ribosomal RNA", at positions 1203 to 1414 of the family's 1533-position model. Lineage: Bacteria; Pseudomonadati; Pseudomonadota; Gammaproteobacteria; Vibrionales; Vibrionaceae. The record is from RNAcentral.
UAUGAACUGGGCUACACACGUGUUACAAUGGUGUAAACAAAACGUAGCAAUGAUGAAAAUCGGAGCCAAUCGCUAAAUUACACCUCAGUACGGAUUGGUGUCUGCAACUCGACUCCAUGAAGCCGGAAUCACUAGUAAUCGUGGAUCAGCAUGCCACGGUGAAUACGUACCUGAGCCUUGUACUCCCCGCCCGUCACACUCUGGGAGUAGU